UGGCGGACGGGUGAGUAACGCGUGGAUAACCUGCCGUAUACAGGGGGAUAACACUUAGAAAUAGGUGCUAACACCGCAUAAGCGCACGGUUCCGCAUGGAACAGUGUGAAAAACUCCGGUGGUAUACGAUGGAUCCGCGUCUGAUUAGCCAGUUGGCGGGGUAACGGCCCACCAAAGCGACGAUCAGUAGCCGGCCUGAGAGGGUGAACGGCCACAUUGGGACUGAGACACGGCCCAAACUCCUACGGAAGGCAGCAG
This 258-nucleotide ribosomal RNA is filed under the name uncultured bacterium. RNAcentral's name for it is "partial 16S ribosomal RNA". It matches the Rfam family "Bacterial small subunit ribosomal RNA", at positions 96 to 354 of the family's 1533-position model. The record is from RNAcentral.